This 292-nucleotide ribosomal RNA is filed under the name Chaetomium globosum. RNAcentral's name for it is "partial 18S ribosomal RNA". It matches the Rfam family "Eukaryotic small subunit ribosomal RNA", at positions 1142 to 1456 of the family's 1831-position model. The record is from RNAcentral. Lineage: Eukaryota; Fungi; Ascomycota; Sordariomycetes; Sordariales; Chaetomiaceae.
ACUUAAAGGAAUUGACGGAAGGGCACCACCAGGGGUGGAGCCUGCGGCUUAAUUUGACUCAACACGGGGAAACUCACCAGGUCCAGACACGAUGAGGAUUGACAGAUUGAGAGCUCUUUCUUGAUUUCGUGGGUGGUGGUGCAUGGCCGUUCUUAGUUGGUGGAGUGAUUUGUCUGCUUAAUUGCGAUAACGAACGAGACCUUAACCUGCUAAAUAGCCCGCAUUGCUUUGGCAGUGCGCCGGCUUCUUAGAGGGACUAUCGGCUCAAGCCGAUGGAAGUUUGAGGCAAUAA